GGUAUGCUAAAUUUAGUAUAGCUCAACAAUAGGAUACCAGUUAAAGAAUGACUUGUUUCUUCUUCAUUCCCACUGCUUCACUUGACUAGCCUUAA
Molecule: small RNA, 95 nt
Filed under: Otolemur garnettii (small-eared galago)
Lineage: Eukaryota; Metazoa; Chordata; Mammalia; Primates; Galagidae
Description: Y RNA (ENSOGAG00000023823.1)
Source: RNAcentral